UGUUCGAUCGGGUCGGCCUUCUUCUCCAAUAGCUCAAGCGAUCACAUCGUCACUCGCCGGCGCGCCCUUAUUCUUCCCCGGCAACGCCGCUGGUUUCUUAACACUGCCGCCUGUGUCCGUGCCGGAGAAGUAAUCUCUCUCUAUUCUAUCUCCUUACCACUGGAGACGUCUGCCGAUAGGGCACUUGUCAAUGAGAUCAAAGUAAAUGCAUUCGAAUGAUUACUGGAGAAUGGAAGGGACUUAUUGGAUCUGAUGAAAGAUGGAGCUCAGGUGGAGUCGAAUAGCGAAGAGCAGAAAUCUGGGGAAAAAUUGCCUUGCUGCUAACAUUUUCAAAACAUCCUUAUCGAUUCAGCUUCUGCUUCAGAGACUCUACAGGAGUAGAAGAUAUCUGAGCCCUACAAGUCAGCAUGGCCACUAUGUCAGACAUUGGAGGCCUCAAGUCUGGGUGUAGCUGAAGGCACAGCAGAGCAACUUGGCACACCUGCAACACUUCUUUCUCCACUGUUCCUUCAUCUAAUUUUGACUUGAACUGAAGAUGGAUUCAGAAAUGGAGGAGCAAGGAAAGGGAGAUGAGAGUUUACAUAUUCUGGAAGGUAUUGCAUCUCAAUUGGAAGAGAAAGAUCCGUGUUGGUCCUGCAACUGAUGAUCUCCAGCACAAGAACACCGAAGCUGUAGAUGUCGGCUUUUGCCGAAAGCUCACCUCGCAGAGCAUAUUCAGAAGAUGGUGAUGGAGUUUACAAAUGGGGCCUUUGGUGGAGUUGGCAAUCUUCCACAACGACCCCUUCUGCUUCCUGCACCUCCAGCAAAACACCAUGAGUGCAAAACCAACAAGAAGUGAAGCUACCGCGACGCUGAUAAAGAGCAAAAGUGAUGCUUGCUGCAUUGGAGCUGCAAAGUCUGUAAAGAUCGAAGGUACCUUGGAGAAACUGAGGUGGCAUCAAUCUGCUGGCUCUUCAGCAUAAUAUGAUCUCUUCAUGCUCGUGGAGGAAGAGGGGGCAUCGUUGGGAACAAGAAGGGG
Long non-coding RNA from Zingiber officinale, 1018 nucleotides. RefSeq lists it as uncharacterized. Lineage: Eukaryota; Viridiplantae; Streptophyta; Magnoliopsida; Zingiberales; Zingiberaceae. The record is from RefSeq and is a predicted model, not a curated record. The transcript has 5 exons.